UGUCCGGAAUUACUGGGUGUAAAGGGAGCGUAGGCGGGAUCGCAAGUCAGAUGUGAAAACUAUGGGCUUAACCCAUAAACUGCAUUUGAAACUGUGGUUCUUGAGUGAAGUAGAGGUAAGCGGAAUUCCUAGUGUAGCGGUGAAAUGCGUAGAUAUUAGGAGGAACAUCAGUGGCGAAGGCGGCUUACUGGGCUUUAACUGACGCUGAGGCUCGAAAGCGUGGGGAGCAAACAGGAUUAGAUACCCUGGUAGUCCACGCCGUAAACGAUGAUUACUAGGUGUGGGGGGACUGACCCCUUCCGUGCCGCAGCCAACGCAAUCAGUAAUCCACCUGGGGAGUACGACCGCAGGUUGAAACGCAAAGGAA
Molecule: ribosomal RNA, 367 nt
Filed under: uncultured bacterium
Lineage: Bacteria
Description: bacterial SSU rRNA
Rfam family: Bacterial small subunit ribosomal RNA
Source: RNAcentral